UAACACAUGCAAGUCGAGCGAGAAAGGGGCUUCGGCCCUGAGUAGAGCGGCGCACGGGUGAGUAACACGUGAAUAAUCUGCCCCUUAGACCGGGAUAACAGACCGAAAGGACUGCUAAUACCGGAUAAGCCCACGUCCCAACCGGGGAUGCGGGAAAAGCACGGGACCGCAAGGCCGUGCGCUUUGGGAUGAGUUCGCGUUCCAUUAGAUAGUUGGUGAGGUAAUGGCUCACCAAGUCGACGAUGGAUAGCUGGUCUUAGAGGAUGAUCAGCCACACUGGAACUGAGACACGGUCCAGACUCCUACGGGAGGCAGCAGUGGGGAAUCUUGCGCAAUGGGGGAAACCCUGACGCAGCCAUGCCGCGUGAAGCGAUGAAGGCCUUCGGGUUGUAAAGCUCCGUCUAAGGGGACGAAUGGCGCUGUGAACAAGACACACGGCGAUUGACGGUACCCUUAAAGAAAACACCGGCUAACUCCGUGCCAGCAGCCGC
RNAcentral lists this ribosomal RNA (491 nucleotides) under uncultured bacterium. RNAcentral's name for it is "bacterial SSU rRNA". It matches the Rfam family "Bacterial small subunit ribosomal RNA", at positions 49 to 518 of the family's 1533-position model. The record is from RNAcentral.